CAAUUAGCCAAUGUUUUUAUUUUUUGUUUGAGCGGGCUCCUAAAAUUUCCAAACCCCUCUUCUAAAUUUUUCUUCCCCUUUUGUUUUCCUCAAACACGCUCGUUACUUUUGCAAAACCUUCGCUUUCAAAAUUUCUCAAGUCUUGAGCUGUCGUCCUCUGCUUCAUCUCUGGGUUCCUCCUCAUCCACCUCCUAAAGACCCGGCAUUCUUUUUGUGCUUCUCUACUUCUGAAACCAUAGCUGCCGCCAUUCUCUUCUUCUAUCGUUCUCCAAUUUUCUUGUCCCGACCUCGGUCGAAACCCCAUCGUCUAAGCCCCAGUGUCUUCUCGUCUCCUCUCUUCAAAAAAUCAAUUAUUCUAGGUGCUUCUCUUUCCCAAAGAUCCACCCUAUCUCUGCCUUAAUUCCUCCUCUAAAAAUCUUAACCCAAGAGCUAGAUCUUAGUCUUUGAUAUCUUAUUCUUCAAGCUAAGUAGAUUUCUGUCUCUUUCUUUGCAUUUUUGCUUUUAGAUUUCAAUUAAUUUUUAUAUUUUUAUGAUAGAACCGGAACUUGAUUUUGGAGAUGAUCAUAGAUGUGAUUAGAUUUCAAUUACCUAGCUCUCUACACCAUAUUCCGUAAACUUGACCCUAACCAUGCUGCAUCGAAGAAGGUGCUCAAGCAAAAGAGGGAGAUCGCCAAGAGGCUCGACCGACCUCUAAUCAACACUAAUUAAAGGAAAGAAUGUGGAUUCUUCAAGCAAAUUUGCAUCGUCAAGCCAAAAUGACAAGGCUAGGUACCAUUUGACAAUAAUAGAUAGAAGUGAAGAAAAUAUGAAGAUACUGU
Long non-coding RNA from Asparagus officinalis (garden asparagus), 818 nucleotides. RefSeq lists it as uncharacterized. The record is from RefSeq and is a predicted model, not a curated record. The transcript is spliced from 3 exons. NCBI's taxonomy places the organism in Eukaryota, Viridiplantae, Streptophyta, Magnoliopsida, Asparagales, Asparagaceae.